Molecule: ribosomal RNA, 247 nt
Filed under: uncultured bacterium
Lineage: Bacteria
Description: partial 16S ribosomal RNA
Rfam family: Bacterial small subunit ribosomal RNA
Source: RNAcentral
UACGUAGGGUGCAAGCGUUGUCCGGAAUUAUUGGGCGUAAAGAGCUCGUAGGCGGUCUGUCGCGUCGGCUGUGAAAACCCCGGAGCUCAACUCCGGGCCUGCAGUCGAUACGGGCAGACUGGAGUUCGGCAGGGGGAGACUGGAAUUCCUGGUGUAGCGGUGAAAUGCGCAGAUAUCAGGAGGAACACCGGUGGCGAAGGCGGGUCUCUGGGGCCGAUACUGACGCUGAGGAGCGAAAAGCGUGGGG